GUGUUGGAGAGACACUAAACAUAAACAGGCACAAAUAAAGAAGGAAAAGAGCAUGAGCAAGGGAGCCUUUUCAAAGACUAUACCCUCCUACUACUACCACUGCUACUAUUACUAGUUUCAAAUACAAACUUUGUAGGCGUUUCUUAAUUCGCAUGUAUUAAUUUGCGUGUGGAAUACCUAGUUUUCCAUUGUCAAAAGGAACCGAGGCUCGUUUAAGAGGAAUGAUCAUGGAAAGAUGAUGCUAUUUAGCAAGUUACGGAAGUUUUCUGGAACAAGACCUUUAUUGAAGAAUAUGAUUGGAUAUGAAACCAUGUACUGUGUUGGAGCAGAAUUUUCUCAGCAAACUCUUAUCAAGAAGGUUUGGAUGAAAUAACACCAUAGGGAUUAUGGCGGAUAACACGCUUGGUGAUACCACAACAUUUAGUCACAUGUUGUCCCAAAGACGUCAGAAGAAUUAUUCACAGAAUAGGAACACAGAUGCUACAGUAGCUUGUGGAGGAAAGUUUUACCAUGUUCAUAGAAUUGUGUUAUUAAAGUGUAGUACUUAUGUAGAAGCAAUGUCUGAGUUAGCGAGUGCUGGUAAGCACCCCUUAAUGUUGUUACAGUAUGAUAGAAAAUAUGAACUAGAGGUUCUUCUUAGUUAUAUGUAUGCAGUCGUGGUGUUAGUGGCACAAAAGGACCUAUCAAGACUAGUUAAGAUAGCAGGGUUAUUACAAAUAAAAGGACUGGCUGUGGCAGACGAUCUCCCAAGUAAAAAAAAAAUUAGUACAAGUAACCAAAGUGAAAGGACAGGCAGUGGGCAUUAUAAAUCUUCUCAUUCAUUAGACACUAAUGGUAGAACUAGUCUUGGUCAUAAGAUCCGGGAACAAGAAGAACACAGAAGCUCUCCACAGUUUCAUCCCUCCACUUCUAGUUCAUUUAGGACUAAUUAU
Molecule: long non-coding RNA, 932 nt
Organism: Macrobrachium nipponense
Lineage: Eukaryota; Metazoa; Arthropoda; Malacostraca; Decapoda; Palaemonidae
Exons: 4
Source: RefSeq, a predicted model, not a curated record